This 899-nucleotide ribosomal RNA is filed under the name Pedobacter panaciterrae. RNAcentral's name for it is "bacterial SSU rRNA". It matches the Rfam family "Bacterial small subunit ribosomal RNA", at positions 57 to 966 of the family's 1533-position model. The record is from RNAcentral. Lineage: Bacteria; Pseudomonadati; Bacteroidota; Sphingobacteriia; Sphingobacteriales; Sphingobacteriaceae.
GCAGUCGACGAGAUUAAGGGGCUUGCUCCUUAUGAAAGUGGCGCACGGGUGCGUAACGCGUAUGCAACCUACCUUGAUCAGGGGGAUAGCCCGAAGAAAUUCGGAUUAACACCGCAUAACAACAUGGGAUAGCAUUAUUCUAUGUUCAAAUAUUUAUAGGAUCAAGAUGGGCAUGCGUGUCAUUAGCUAGUUGGCGGGGUAACGGCCCACCAAGGCGACGAUGACUAGGGGAUCUGAGAGGAUGGCCCCCCACACUGGUACUGAGACACGGACCAGACUCCUACGGGAGGCAGCAGUAAGGAAUAUUGGUCAAUGGAGGGAACUCUGAACCAGCCAUGCCGCGUGCAGGAAGACGGCCCUCUGGGUUGUAAACUGCUUUUAUUCGGGAAUAAACCWMWUUACGUGUARWKWGCUGAAUGUACCGAAGGAAUAAGGAUCGGCUAACUCCGUGCCAGCAGCCGCGGUAAUACGGAGGAUCCAAGCGUUAUCCGGAUUUAUUGGGUUUAAAGGGUGCGUAGGCGGCUUAUUAAGUCAGGGGUGAAAGACGGUGGCUCAACCAUCGCAGUGCCCUUGAUACUGAUGAGCUUGAAUGGACUAGAGGUAGGCGGAAUGUGACAAGUAGCGGUGAAAUGCAUAGAUAUGUCACAGAACACCGAUUGCGAAGGCAGCUUACUAUGGUUUAAUUGACGCUGAGGCACGAAAGCGUGGGGAUCAAACAGGAUUAGAUACCCUGGUAGUCCACGCCCUAAACGAUGAAUACUCGCUGUUAGCGAUAUACAGUUAGCGGCUAAGCGAAAGCGUUAGUAUUCCACCUGGGGGAGUACGCCCGCAGGGUGAAACUCAAAGGAAUUGACGGGGCCGCACAGCGAGAGCAUGKGGUUUAUCGAUGAUACGCGAGA